Long non-coding RNA from Aphidius gifuensis, 428 nucleotides. RefSeq lists it as uncharacterized. The record is from RefSeq and is a predicted model, not a curated record. The transcript has 3 exons. NCBI's taxonomy places the organism in Eukaryota, Metazoa, Arthropoda, Insecta, Hymenoptera, Braconidae.
AUUUGAGAAGCUCGAGGUACAGGACAUAUUUUGUCCCAUUUCUAACAAGAUUAAUAGACGGCUGGGAUAAGGUCGUCGCAUGACUCAGUGCGCAUGCGCGGUCAGCCAUGUUUGAUGCUAUUCCCCACUCCUAAUGUUCACCACACAAUGUAAACAAACAGUGUAUGGCAUGUCAAAAAAAUUUCAACAUCAAAAUUUAAUCAUUUAUUUAUUGAAUAAAUAUUGUACGUCAACGUUGUGCGAUCGGUUGCUUCCCCCAGAGAUUCAGAUCAUCGUCGAAAAUGAUCUACUGGUGCUGGUGUGAGCCAAAUAGAACCAAGCUCAACGUUAUGUGAGAUAUAUUUAUAAAGAUCUAACAUAAUGAAUCUCAAUAUGAACAACAUCGUCAGGAUGGCUCAAAAAAUUAAAACCAAAUGCAGUACCAACUU